GCUGAGCUUAGUAACGUGAGCUUGUCACCAAGUGGAGCAUUAAGGUAUUUGGAUAAUUUGGUUAAUGAUCUUAAAGUUGACUUGACGACGCUUUCUGGCUUGCCCGAUUCCAAGUUGGGUAGUUAGACUUUGUGAUCUUAGCGAAAGCUUUGGUCAUGAGGUUUCUAGAGUUGAGGAUAAUGCGUCAGGCUGGCUUUACAGAGCAGCGAUUACCUCUCGCUUUCAACGGUGGAAGGAUUACAAGCUGUGGUCUAUCUAGUCAGAUAUACGUUAAGUUCCAAACCAAAUUGAACAAAUAUUUUU
This 303-nucleotide signal recognition particle RNA is filed under the name Zostera marina. RNAcentral's name for it is "Plant signal recognition particle RNA". It matches the Rfam family "Plant signal recognition particle RNA". Lineage: Eukaryota; Viridiplantae; Streptophyta; Magnoliopsida; Alismatales; Zosteraceae. The record is from Rfam by way of RNAcentral.